Molecule: long non-coding RNA, 495 nt
Organism: Leptinotarsa decemlineata (Colorado potato beetle)
Lineage: Eukaryota; Metazoa; Arthropoda; Insecta; Coleoptera; Chrysomelidae
Source: RefSeq, a predicted model, not a curated record
UCCAGGAAACCAUCAGGAAAAAAUUUGCCAAAUGUACAGUAUUGACAAUAGCUCACAGGUUGCACACCAUCAUGGAUUCGGAUAAGGUGCUAGUGAUGGACGCAGGACGGAAAGCAGAGUUUGACCAUCCCCAUCUUCUGCUGCAAAACGAAGCAGGUGUAUUUCAUUCGUUGGUGAUGCAAACUGGGAAAGCUACCGCCAAAAAUUUGAUGACCAUAGCGGAAGAAACUUACGAAGCAACACACAGUCAGUGUAGUCGAGAGUAGCUGAAGAAAAAUUGUGGUCAAGAUGGGAAGAGGUGUCUUACUGAUUGUGGAAAAAAUUUGUGUAAGUUUUGUUUCAGUUCGUCCGCUUUGUCCAAUAGAGGUUACAUCAUAUUUUCAGCAGGAAGUCAACUGUCGAAGAUGAGUCAUAAAAAUUAAAAUAGAAAUAAUCUAUAUCAUAUAAGCUACCAUUCUGUACAUACUUGUUCAAUAGACAACUACACAGUGUAAA